GCAGCUCAGUCAGCAGAGCAUGAGACCCUUAACCUCAAGGUUGUGGGUUCGAGCCCCAUGUUGGGCA
This 67-nucleotide transfer RNA is filed under the name Podarcis lilfordi (Lilford's wall lizard). Its description in RNAcentral is "tRNA.Lys". The stretch from base 3 to 59 matches the Rfam family "tRNA", at positions 9 to 63 of the family's 71-position model. From Rfam's summary of the family: Transfer RNA (tRNA) molecules are approximately 80 nucleotides in length. Their secondary structure includes four short double-helical elements and three loops (D, anti-codon, and T loops). Lineage: Eukaryota; Metazoa; Chordata; Lepidosauria; Squamata; Lacertidae. The record is from RNAcentral.